This is a long non-coding RNA of Gavialis gangeticus (Gharial), 123 nucleotides long. RefSeq lists it as uncharacterized. The record is from RefSeq and is a predicted model, not a curated record. The transcript is spliced from 3 exons. NCBI's taxonomy places the organism in Eukaryota, Metazoa, Chordata, Crocodylia, Gavialidae.
GGCAGGGGUGCCUGGUGAGGGGGGCCAGUGCCAGCAGUGGUCAUAACCACUUCCAGCAGCAGCUGGAAGCAUGAAGGCAGGGAGAACUGCCACCUCAGGGGCUGCUGGGAAGCAGAGUCUGGC